GAGAGCGCAGAUCCGACGGAUCCCAGCUCCGGGGAUAUCGCGCGCUCGCUCAUGCCCAGCAGCAAGUUGUCGUCCAUGCAGGACAUGGAGGCAGCCGCCGACGUAUCCGAGAUGUCUCCAAAGGCUGUGGGCGGCGCAACGGGAGACCUCUUCGCCGCGACCCGCAAGACGACGGCCGAGCCGCAGCCCGAUCCCGAUCCCGAGCCCGAGCCCGAGCUCGAGCCCGAGCCCGAGCCAGAAUCCCUGUCGCUCAUGCCCAGCAGUAAGUUGUCGUCCAUGCAGGACAUGGAGGCAGCCGCCGACGUAUCCGAGAUGUCUCCAAAGGCUGUGGGCGGCGCAACGGGAGACCUCUUCGCCGCGACCCGCAAGACGACGGCCGAGCCGCAGCCCGAUCCCGAGCCCGAGCCCGAGCUCGAGUCCGGACCGGUGGAGGCGAAAGAAUCGUCUUCGAUGGCCGACCCUGAGUACAGCGCUGACUUUGAGGAUGCUCCCGCGG
RNAcentral lists this long non-coding RNA (496 nucleotides) under Micromonas commoda. RNAcentral's name for it is "long non-coding RNA (MCOM_LNC000338)". The record is from RNAcentral. Lineage: Eukaryota; Viridiplantae; Chlorophyta; Mamiellophyceae; Mamiellales; Mamiellaceae.